RNAcentral lists this small RNA (3232 nucleotides) under Pan troglodytes (chimpanzee). RNAcentral's name for it is "retained intron". The record is from RNAcentral. Lineage: Eukaryota; Metazoa; Chordata; Mammalia; Primates; Hominidae.
UAACAGAUAGCUGGGCCUCACAGGACAGGCACCAGAGUGUCGGGAAUGGAGGCUGUUCUUUCCCUCUGAGGAGUCUGUGGUCAUUGAUCUCUUGCCUCUCAUUUUUCUCCUUUCUGCUCACAAGCUUCCCUUUUUGCAUGGCAGCCAUUCCUAACCCUACAUCAGAACUAUUCAGCUCCAGUGCGUGCCCCAUACUGAAACUUUCCUUAUUGCUCUCUAGUUCAAAUAUCAGGAGGGCCUGGCUGAGUUUAACUCAUGGCUGGCACCUGUUCAGUCAUGUCCAGCUUUGGCUCUUUUGGCUGAGGCUGAUGUGACAGUGCAGGGGCUCCACCUCUAGGGGCUGUGAGUGAAGCAGGCCUGAUGGAAUUAUCCUGCCACACAACAACCAGAGCUGGAGGAAACUUUAGGGGGCAGAGAAAAACUUCUGAAGCAGUUUAUGAAGAGGCUGGAAGACUUAGCAGGCUCAUGUGUCCAUGCAGAUAGGUGCAGAUGGUCACAACUCCGGAGUACGGCAGGCUGUUGGAAUCCAGAAUGUGAGCUGGAACUAUGACCAGUCUGCUGUUGUGGCUACUCUGCAUUUAUCAGAGGUAAGAUCCUGAGCUGCCAUCUGGGGACUUUAUUCAUAGGCACUAGGUACUUCACAGAGAAACUCUUCUCCUCUCUGUUGCAGGCCACAGAAAACAACGUAGCCUGGCAGAGAUUUCUUCCCUCUGGGCCUAUUGCUCUGCUCCCGCUCUCAGACACCUUGAGUUCCUUGGUUUGGUCCACGUCCCAUGAACAUGCAGCAGAGCUAGUUACCAUGGAUGAGGAAAAAUUUGUGGAUGCCGUUAACUCUGCCUUUGUGAGUAUCAAUUUACCCAGCUGAUGAUGUGUUGCAGGGGGAGAUACAGAAAGGUGUUUUUUUUUUUUUUUUGAAACGGAGCCUUGCCAGGGUGGAGCGCAGUGGCACGAUCUUGGCUCACUGUGCAAUCUCCGCCUCCCGGGUUCAAGCGAUUCUCCUGCCUCAGCCUCCCAAGUAGCUGGGACUACAGGCACGUGCCACCACGCCCAGCUAAUUUUUGUAUUUUUAGUAGAAAUGAGGUUUCACCAUGUUGGCCAGGCUGGUCUCAAACUCCUGACCUCAAGUGAUCUGCCUGCCUUGGCCUCCCAAAGUGCUGGGAUUACAGGCGUGAGCCACUGCACCCAGCCAGAAAGGUGGUUUUGAGUCAGGAAAAAGGAGUAACCAGUCAGCUGUCCCUUUGUACUUUGUAACUAUAAUGCUUGGUCUGGAUUAUGUGGAGGAGUGUAUACACGGAAAUGCAAAACAAUAGAAAUAAUAAAUAAUAACCUUUUGAGGGUUGUGGGCUGCUGUUAGGCUGACUGAAACAGCUGCCUGGGUGGUGGUUAGCAUUGGCCUUUUUUUGAAGCUGUAACACUUGGAUUAUUUUGAACAGUUCUACUAGGUUGCAGCUACCUGAACCUUUCAAGCCUGAUUCAUUGGAAGUAUUCCUAGGGAAAGGCCGAGCGAAUUUCAGCAUGGGGCUUAAGAGUAAGCUUAGUAGAUAGAUGUGGGUUCAAAAAUGAACAGGUUCUACCUGUUCAUUUCCUGGAAAAUGUAAAUAGUAUCACUAACUGCUCAGGAUUGAAUAAAGACUUUCAAAAUGAGAGAACUUUUGUAAAAUCCAUGGAACAUCUUUAGUACAUUGUAGGUGCUCAACAAAUACUAAUAAUUCUGGAGUAGACACAGCCUUUGGAUAAUAUGGGUACCAGUAUUACUUUUGGAGCCUAAAUGACACUCAAAGCCUGCUACCUUCACACCAAAGACUCCACUGCUGUGUAGUAGCAACAAGAAUAAAGGGAACUGAACAUACUGAAAUGGAUUCCGAGAUAAAUGGUGAACACUACCCUACUCUGGGCCAUUUAGUAUAUAUUCCUGGCACAGGUCUAGGUCCUCUGCAGUGCAGUCAUUCACCAUUAAUUGUCCUUUCUAUGUAGCAGGCUCUGGAGAUACUGAGAACAGUCUCCGCUUUCAGGAAGUUCAUAGUCAAGUAAGGAAGACCGUAAAUGACAAUCUCCGUACAGUGAUAGAAGUAUGCAUAGGAUGCUGUGGAAGCAUACAGGGGGGAAACACAGAGAAAGACUGGAGGAGUUAAAAAGAGGCGACGUCUUCUGGAUGCUCUGAGAUGUUAUCCUAAUGAAAUAGAGACGGGCAUUCUAAGCAGAGGAGAGUCAUGGAGGUAGAAGGAUACUGUGUGAUGAGCUAUACUGUGGCUGGUGCGUGGUUAUUGAGGGUGGGGACUAGUGAAAGGUGAAGCUCAGAAGUAGGCAGGGGCCAGCUCAUGUACAGUUUGGCUAGAUCUUAAAACCUCUGGGGAGUGAUGAGAAGUUGCUUUUCACUUGAGGGGCUUAUCACUUGUCAAGAUCAAUGUAGGCAAGUUGGGUAGCAUUAGCCUAAGCUUUGGUUACAAACAAGAUUUCUUUAUUGAAUUUUUAAUUCCCUGCUACUCACAUUUCACCUUGUUUGUCUUGUGGCUGAUGCUGCUCAGUGGAGUGAUGCUGACCACACGGACUUCAUCGACACAGCUGGUGCCAUGCUGCAGUAUGCUGUCAGCCUUCUGAAGCCCACUAAGGUCUCGGCUCGCCAGCUGCCCCCAAGCGUAGCCAGGGUGGAUGCCAAAAGCCGAGUUCUGUUUCCUCUUGGGUUGGGACAUGCUGCUGAGUACGUCAGGCCUCGGGUGGCGCUCAUUGGGUAAGACGAUAACAGAGCAGGGCCACUCCCUUCUCACUUUGCUGCCAGAGGUCACACCUGAACUCUGCUUUAUUCUUAGGGAUGCAGCCCACAGAGUCCAUCCGCUUGCAGGACAGGGUGUCAACAUGGGCUUUGGGGAUAUCUCCAGCUUGGCCCAUCACCUCAGUACGGCAGCCUUCAAUGGGAAGGACUUAGGUUCCAUGAGCCACCUCACAGGUUAUGAAACAGAAAGACAGCGUCACAACACUGCUCUUCUGGCUGCUACAGACUUACUAAAAAGGCUCUAUUCUACCAGUGCCUCCCCGCUUGUGUUGCUCAGGACGUGGGGCUUGCAGGCCACAAAUGCAGUGUCUCCACUCAAAGAACAGAUUAUGGCCUUUGCAAGCAAAUGAGUACUCCUCUCCUAAAGAAAGAUUACGUUGAUGAAAAAGAACAUCCUGCCCAGGACCCAUCAUACAUAUUUUCAAGAUCUUAUUUAAUUUAAUAAACUUACUUUACAUUAAA